GGGGCUAUGGGGUAGCUUGGACCAUCCUUUCUGGUUUGGGCUUGCAGAGAAACAAAAGCUCUGCAGAAAAAAACCAGAUGACCCCGGUUCAAAUCCGGGUAGCCCCA
Molecule: transfer RNA, 107 nt
Filed under: Candidatus Woesearchaeota archaeon
Lineage: Archaea; Nanobdellati; Candidatus Woesearchaeota
Description: tRNA-Pro
Rfam family: tRNA
About the family: Transfer RNA (tRNA) molecules are approximately 80 nucleotides in length. Their secondary structure includes four short double-helical elements and three loops (D, anti-codon, and T loops).
Source: RNAcentral